This 453-nucleotide ribosomal RNA is filed under the name uncultured organism. RNAcentral describes it as "partial 16S ribosomal RNA". It matches the Rfam family "Bacterial small subunit ribosomal RNA", at positions 330 to 799 of the family's 1533-position model. The record is from RNAcentral.
CGUACACUCCUGCGGGAGGCAGCAGUGGGGAAUAUUGGACAAUGGGCGAAAGCCUGAUCCAGCAAUGCCGCGUGAGUGAUGAAGGCCUUAGGGUUGUAAAGCUCUUUUACCCGGGAUGAUAAUGACAGUACCGGGAGAAUAAGCCCCGGCUAACUCCGUGCCAGCAGCCGCGGUAAUACGGAGGGGGCUAGCGUUGUUCGGAAUUACUGGGCGUAAAGCGCGCGUAGGCGGCUUUGUAAGUUAGAGGUGAAAGCCCGGAGCUCAACUUCGGAAUUGCCUUUAAGACUGCAUCGCUAGAAUCGUGGAGAGGUGAGUGGAAUUCCGAGUGUAGAGGUGAAAUUCGUAGAUAUUCGGAAGAACACCAGUGGCGAAGGCGACUCACUGGACACGUAUUGACGCUGAGGUGCGAAAGCGUGGGGAGCAAACAGGAUUAGAUACCCCUGUAGUCCCAUG